This 622-nucleotide ribosomal RNA is filed under the name uncultured bacterium. Its description in RNAcentral is "bacterial SSU rRNA". It matches the Rfam family "Bacterial small subunit ribosomal RNA", at positions 338 to 951 of the family's 1533-position model. The record is from RNAcentral.
CCUACGGGAGGCAGCAGUGGGGAAUUUUGGACAAUGGGCGCAAGCCUGAUCCAGCAAUGCCGCGUGAGUGAAGAAGGCCUUCGGGUUGUAAAGCUCUUUUGUCAGGGAAGAAACGGUCUACUCUAAUACAGUGGGCUAAUGACGGUACCUGAAGAAUAAGCACCGGCUAACUACGUGCCAGCAGCCGCGGUAAUACGUAGGGUGCAAGCGUUAAUCGGAAUUACUGGGCGUAAAGCGUGCGCAGGCGGUUAUAUAAGUCAGAUGUGAAAUCCCCGGGCUCAACCUGGGAACUGCAUUUGAGACUGUAUGGCUAGAGUGUGUCAGAGGGGGGUAGAAUUCCACGUGUAGCAGUGAAAUGCGUAGAUAUGUGGAGGAAUACCGAUGGCGAAGGCAGCCCCCUGGGAUAACACUGACGCUCAUGCACGAAAGCGUGGGGAGCAAACAGGAUUAGAUACCCUGGUAGUCCACGCCCUAAACGAUGUCUACUAGUUGUCGGGACUUAAUUGUCUUGGUAACGCAGCUAACGCGUGAAGUAGACCGCCUGGGGAUACGGUCGCAAGNUUAAAACGUCAAAUGAAAUUGACCGGNUAGAGAGUAGACGAGGACGACACGAGGGAGGAGG